UACGAAGGGGACUAGCGUUGUUCGGAAUCACUGGGCGUAAAGCGCACGUAGGCGGAUGUGUCAGUCAGGGGUGAAAUCCCGGGGCUCAACCUCGGAACUGCCUUUGAUACAGCACGUCUCGAGUCCGGAAGAGGUGGGUGGAAUUCCUAGUGUAGAGGUGAAAUUCGUAGAGAUCGGCAGGAACACCCAGGGGGAAACCAGCCGACUGGGCAUUGACUGACGCUGAGGUGCGAGAGCGUGGGGAGCGAACCGG
RNAcentral lists this ribosomal RNA (253 nucleotides) under uncultured bacterium. RNAcentral's name for it is "partial 16S ribosomal RNA". It matches the Rfam family "Bacterial small subunit ribosomal RNA", at positions 524 to 776 of the family's 1533-position model. The record is from RNAcentral.